This 437-nucleotide ribosomal RNA is filed under the name uncultured bacterium. RNAcentral's name for it is "bacterial SSU rRNA". It matches the Rfam family "Bacterial small subunit ribosomal RNA", at positions 1 to 480 of the family's 1533-position model. The record is from RNAcentral.
GGAAUACGCCCUUAGAGUUUGAUCCUGGCUCAGAACGAACGCUGGCGGCAGGCCUAACACAUGCAAGUCGAGCGCGCCUUCGGGUGAGCGGCGGACGGGUAAGUAACGCGUGGGAACGUACCCUUCUCUACGGAAUAGCCUUUGGAAACGAAGAGUAAUACCGUAUACGCCCUUUGGGGGAAAGAUUUAUCGGAGAAGGAUCGGCCCGCGUUAGAUUAGAUAGUUAGUGGGGUAACGGCCUACCAAGUCUACGAUCUAUAGCUGGUUUAAGAGGAUGAUCAGCAACACUGGGACUGAGACACGGCCCAGACUCCUACGGGAGGCAGCAGUGGGGAAUCUUAGACAAUGGGCGCAAGCCUGAUCUAGCCAUGCCGCGUGAGUGAUGAAGGCCUUAGGGUCGUACAGCUCUUUCGCCUGUGAUGAUAAUGACAGUAGCA